RNAcentral lists this long non-coding RNA (427 nucleotides) under Homo sapiens (human). RNAcentral describes it as "non-protein coding lnc-SUPT6H-4:1". The record is from RNAcentral. Lineage: Eukaryota; Metazoa; Chordata; Mammalia; Primates; Hominidae.
CGCUCAAGAUUCACCUUCACCUGUAACCCACCACCAUGACCAAGGAAGACACGCUGCUGGAGGUGUAAUGGAUAUUAAUACUGCUCUACAAGAGACUGAAGACCGCCCUCAGCCAUGAUGGCCUAGCAGGUGGAACCUGCAAAGCUGCCAAAGCCUUAGACAAGGGCCAAGCCCAUCUUUGCGUGCUUGCAUCCAAAUGUGAAGAGCCUAUGUAUGUCAAGCUAGGGGUGGCCCUUUGUGCCGAACACCAAAUCAACCCAAUUAAGGUUGAUGACCUUAAGAAACCAGAGACAUGGCUAAGCCUUUGUAAAACUGAUAGACAAGGAAAACUUUGUAAAGUGGUUGGUUGCAGUUGUGUCACAGUGAAGGGCUACAGCAAAGAAUUUCAGGCCAAGGAUGUGACUGUGUACUUCAAAUGCAAGAAAUU